GAUGAACGCUAGCGGGAGGCCUAACACAUGCGAGCCGAGCGGGAUUUGUUGGUUAGCUUGCUAACUAACAAUGAGAGCGGCGUACGGGUGCGUAGCACGUGUGCAACCUGCCUUUAUCUGGGGGAUAGCCUUUCGAAAGGAAGAUUAAUACCCCAUAACAUAUUGAUUGUCAUCAGUUAAUAUUGUAAGCUCCGGCGGAUAGAGAUGGGCACGUGUAAGAUUAGCUAGUUGGUGAGGUAACGGCUCACCAAGGAUGCGCUCUUUAUGGGGCCUGAGAGGGUGCUCCCCCGCACUUGUACUGAGACACGGACCAGACUCCGACGCGGGGCAGCAGUGAGGAAUAUUGGACGUUGGGUGAGAGCCUGAUCCAGCCAUGCCGCGUGAAGAGCUAAGGACCUAUGGUUUGUAAACUUCUGGUAGACAGGGAUAAACCUACUCUCGUGAGAGUAGCUGAAGGUACUGUAUGAAUAAGCACCGGCUAACUCCGUG
RNAcentral lists this ribosomal RNA (489 nucleotides) under uncultured bacterium. Its description in RNAcentral is "partial 16S ribosomal RNA". It matches the Rfam family "Bacterial small subunit ribosomal RNA", at positions 28 to 507 of the family's 1533-position model. The record is from RNAcentral.